Molecule: unclassified non-coding RNA, 231 nt
Filed under: plant metagenome
Description: partial contains small subunit ribosomal RNA, internal transcribed spacer 1, and 5.8S ribosomal RNA
Source: RNAcentral
UCUCCGUUGGUGAACCAGCGGAGGGAUCAUUACAGAGUUGCAAAACUCCCAAACCAUUGUGAACGUUACCUAUCCCGUUGCUUCGGCGGGCGGCCCGGGCCCCGCGCCCGGCGCCCCCCGCCCCCCCGUGGGCGCCCGCCGGAGGUAAACCAAACCCUUGAAUUGCAUGGUCUCUCUGAGUCUUCUGUACUGAAUAAGUCAAAACUUUCAACAACGGAUCUCUUGGUUCUG